This 274-nucleotide ribosomal RNA is filed under the name uncultured bacterium. RNAcentral describes it as "partial 16S ribosomal RNA". It matches the Rfam family "Bacterial small subunit ribosomal RNA", at positions 523 to 796 of the family's 1533-position model. The record is from RNAcentral.
AUACGGAGGGUGCGAGCGUUAAUCGGAAUUACUGGGCGUAAAGCGCGCGUAGGCGGCUUUGUAAGUCGGAUGUGAAAGCCCUGGGCUCGACCUGGGAAUUGCACUCGAUACUGCAGAGCUAGAGUAUGGUAGAGGGAAGUGGAAUUUCCGGUGUAGCGGUGAAAUGCGUAGAUAUCGGAAGGAACACCAGUGGCGAAGGCGACUUCCUGGGCCAAUACUGACGCUGAGGUGCGAAAGCGUGGGGAGCAAACAGGAUUAGAUACCCCAGUAGUCC